Non-coding RNA from Mycena rebaudengoi, 94 nucleotides. NCBI's taxonomy places the organism in Eukaryota, Fungi, Basidiomycota, Agaricomycetes, Agaricales, Mycenaceae. The record is from the annotation of a GenBank genome assembly.
GCCCUUGUAGAUCAGCGGUAGAUCCCCUACAUUAUGUUAGUCAUCUACAAAUCCAAUUAUGUGGGUGAUGUGGGUUCGAGUCCCACCGAGGGCA